GGCAGCGCGGGGCAACCUGGCGGCGAGUGGCGAACGGGUGAGUAAUAUAUCGGAACGUACCCUGGAGUGGGGGAUAACGUAGCGAAAGUUACGCUAAUACCGCAUACGAUCUAAGGAUGAAAGUGGGGGAUCGCAAGACCUCAUGCUCCUGGAGCGGCCGAUAUCUGAUUAGCUAGUUGGUAGGGUAAAAGCCUACCAAGGCAUCGAUCAGUAGCUGGUCUGAGAGGACGACCAGCCACACUGGAACUGAGACACGGUCCAGACUCCUACGGGAGGCAGCAGUGGGGAAUUUUGGACAAUGGGCGCAAGCCUGAUCCAGCAAUGCCGCGUGAGUGAAGAAGGCCUUCGGGUUGUAAAGCUCUUUUGUCAGGGAAGAAACGGUGAGCUCUAAUACAGUUUGCUAAUGACGGUACCUGAAGAAUAAGCACCGGCUAACUACGUGCCAGCAGCCGCGGUAAUACGUAGGGUGCAAGCGUUAAUCGGAAUUACUGGGCGUAAAGCGUGCGCAGGCGGUUUUGUAAGUCUGUCGUGAAAUCCCCGGGCUCAACCUGGGAAUGGCGAUGGAGACUGCAAGGCUAGAGUUUGGCAGAGGGGGGUAGAAUUCCACGUGUAGCAGUGAAAUGCGUAGAUAUGUGGAGGAACACCGAUGGCGAAGGCAGCCCCCUGGGUCAAAACUGACGCUCAUGCACGAAGCGUGGGGAGCAAACAGGAUUAGAUACCCUGGUAGUCCACGCCCUAAACGAUGUCUACUAGU
RNAcentral lists this ribosomal RNA (754 nucleotides) under uncultured Duganella sp. RNAcentral's name for it is "bacterial SSU rRNA". It matches the Rfam family "Bacterial small subunit ribosomal RNA", at positions 68 to 820 of the family's 1533-position model. The record is from RNAcentral. Lineage: Bacteria; Pseudomonadati; Pseudomonadota; Betaproteobacteria; Burkholderiales; Oxalobacteraceae.